GGGCGUGUAACUCAGUGGUAGAGUGCUCGCUUCGCAUCGUCUUACCUAGUAAAACACUGAUAUUGAAAUGCGAGAAGUCCAGGGUUCAACUCCCUGCUCGUCCA
Molecule: transfer RNA, 104 nt
Filed under: Rostrohypoxylon terebratum
Lineage: Eukaryota; Fungi; Ascomycota; Sordariomycetes; Xylariales; Hypoxylaceae
Description: tRNA-Ala
Rfam family: tRNA
About the family: Transfer RNA (tRNA) molecules are approximately 80 nucleotides in length. Their secondary structure includes four short double-helical elements and three loops (D, anti-codon, and T loops).
Source: RNAcentral